Molecule: transfer RNA, 75 nt
Filed under: Actinomycetes bacterium
Lineage: Bacteria; Bacillati; Actinomycetota; Actinomycetes
Description: Actinobacteria bacterium tRNA-Met
Rfam family: tRNA
About the family: Transfer RNA (tRNA) molecules are approximately 80 nucleotides in length. Their secondary structure includes four short double-helical elements and three loops (D, anti-codon, and T loops).
Source: RNAcentral
GGGGCGGUAGCUCAGCUGGUCAGAGCGGCGGACUCAUAAUCCGACAGGUCGUCGGUUCGAUCCCGACCCGCCCCA